UAGCGCCUCGUGAAUUCAUCUCCGGGGGUAGAGCACUGUUUCGGCAAGGGGGUCAUCCCGACUUACCAACCCGAUGCAAACUGCGAAUACCGGAGAAUGUUAUCACGGGAGACACACGGCGGGUGCUAACGUCCGUCGUGAAGAGGGAAACAACCCAGACCGCCAGCUAAGGUCCCAAAGUCAUGGUUAAGUGGGAAACGAUGUGGGAAGGCCCAGACAGCCAGGAUGUUGGCUUAGAAGCAGCCAUCAUUUAAAGAAAGCGUAAUAGCUCACUGGUCGAGUCGGCCUGCGCGGAAGAUGUAACGGGGCUAAACCAUG
This 318-nucleotide ribosomal RNA is filed under the name Escherichia coli. Its description in RNAcentral is "partial 23S ribosomal RNA". It matches the Rfam family "Bacterial large subunit ribosomal RNA", at positions 875 to 1191 of the family's 2925-position model. The record is from RNAcentral. Lineage: Bacteria; Pseudomonadati; Pseudomonadota; Gammaproteobacteria; Enterobacterales; Enterobacteriaceae.